UUGAUUUAAAGAUGUGCUGGCACUCCUUCACAGGUUUGCAUGUGCACUCUAAAAUCUCCUCUUUACCCCAUUGUGCACACUUUAGUAGGCAAACCAAUUCACAGAGCAAUCUGUGCAAUUUCCUUUGCCUAUGUUUUUAUUAAACACCAAUAACAUGUUAGAAUGAUCAUGUAGUAAGCUUUUAACAAGCUGAAAUCUAAUA
RNAcentral lists this unclassified non-coding RNA (202 nucleotides) under uncultured Clavariaceae. RNAcentral's name for it is "sequence contains ITS1". The record is from RNAcentral. Lineage: Eukaryota; Fungi; Basidiomycota; Agaricomycetes; Agaricales; Clavariaceae.